CUGGCUCUAUGCUCGCCCACCGAGCUGUUGGCUCUCAAUCCUCCUCGGUUGCCUUGAGGCAGUAUGGUUCCCUUAUAUGCUAGUUCUUGUGUCGCCUACCAUUCAAGGGAAGACGGCCACACGACAGUCACCCUCCACCCGGCUCCCCCAAAGGGCGUUGAGGGACAACGAUACACCCCCUAUGUUCUAUUGAUCCCUCACCGAUCAUGUGGCCCCAGGGACGCACAACGCUCUCGUACCCAGUGCACGCUGCGGACGAGGACUCACGUCAAGUACUAAGAGAAGCCCCGACCCCACGAGCAACGACCACGCCUGCCCCUCGGCUACCUAGGCGGCACGGGGGUGCGCGACGUCCCUAAGGAUGCUACCUGGUUAAUCUACUAGUAGUCAUAUGCUUGUCUC
RNAcentral lists this unclassified non-coding RNA (402 nucleotides) under Senegalia parviceps. RNAcentral's name for it is "partial contains external transcribed spacer and small subunit ribosomal RNA". Lineage: Eukaryota; Viridiplantae; Streptophyta; Magnoliopsida; Fabales; Fabaceae. The record is from RNAcentral.